RNAcentral lists this ribosomal RNA (921 nucleotides) under uncultured bacterium. RNAcentral's name for it is "bacterial SSU rRNA". It matches the Rfam family "Bacterial small subunit ribosomal RNA", at positions 33 to 947 of the family's 1533-position model. The record is from RNAcentral.
ACGCUAGCUACAGGCUUAACACAUGCAAGUCGAGGGGCAGCAUGGAAGAAGCUUGCUUCUUCUGAUGGCGACCGGCGCACGGGUGCGUAACGCGUAUCAAACCUGCCUCAUACUCGGGGAUAGCCUUGCGAAAGUAAGAUUAAUACCCGAUGUUGUUAUGUUGCCGCAUGGUGAUAUAACCAAAGAUUUAUCGGUAUGAGAUGGUGAUGCGUCCGAUUAGGUAGUAGGCGGGGUAACGGCCCACCUAGCCUUCGAUCGGUAGGGGUUCUGAGAGGAAGGUCCCCCACACUGGAACUGAGACACGGUCCAGACUCCUACGGGAGGCAGCAGUGAGGAAUAUUGGUUAAUGGACGGAAGUCUGAACCAGCCAAGUAGCGUGCAGGAUGACGACCCUCCGGGUUGUAAACUGCUUUUAGUUGGGAAUAAAAAAGAGGACGUGUCCUCUAUUGCAUGUACCUUCAGAAAAAGGACCGGCUAAUUCCGUGCCAGCAGCCGCGGUAAUACGGAAGGUCCAGGCGUUAUCCGGAUUUAUUGGGUUUAAAGGGAGCGUAGGCGGAUUAUUAAGUCAGUGGUGAAAGACGGUGGCUCAACCAUCGUUAGCCAUUGAAACUGGUAGUCUUGAGUGCAGACAGGGAUGCUGGAACUCGUGGUGUAGCGGUGAAAUGCUUAGAUAUCACGAUGAACUCCGAUCGCGAAGGCAGGUGUCCGGGCUGCAACUGACGCUGAGGCUCGAAAGUGUGGGUAUCAAACAGGAUUAGAUACCCUGGUAGUCCACACAGUAAACGAUGUAUACUCGCGGUUUGCGAUACAAUGUAAGCCGCCAAGCGAAAGCAUUAAGUAUACCACCUGGGGAGUACGCCGGCAACGGUGAAACUCAAAGGAAUUGACGGGGGCCCGCACAAGCGGAGGAACAUGUGGUUU